Molecule: long non-coding RNA, 610 nt
Organism: Rosa chinensis
Lineage: Eukaryota; Viridiplantae; Streptophyta; Magnoliopsida; Rosales; Rosaceae
Exons: 3
Source: RefSeq, a predicted model, not a curated record
CUCCUUUUUAUUUUAUUUUCUUUGCGUUCUGUCUCUCUCCCCUCAAUUCCAUCUUAUUCUCAUCGACGGAUCGACCUCAAUAGUCAGUAACUCAGUAUCUCACCAGUCACUACUCAGCCGUUCAAGUUGUGGCUGCCUAGCAAUUUUUUGGGAUUCUGAGAAUUGAAAACAUUGGAGAAGGAGCUGUGAGCAAACUCAAAGUCUUAUCUCACUCAUCUGAGUCUUUGAUCUUCAAGGAAUCAGAAGGAAAAAGAUGCAGACUUGGUUCAAUCUUUAAGGGGAAGUCUUGAUAGGUUCAUUACUAGAGAACCAGAAGGUUUGGGCGAAGAUUUAGUUAAUGAAGAGGCAGAAGAGCACACUGAGAGGGAAAAUAAUGUGGAAGAGCACACUGAGAGGGAAAAUAAUGUGGAAGAACACACUGAUGGCAAUGAAGUUGUAGAUGAUUUGGAUCAUGGUGAAAAUGAGAAUGACGGGUUUGUUCAAGUAUUAUUGAUUGGUUAUUUGAUUUUAUAUUGUGAUUUUGUUCAUAUAUAAAUUUCAUAUAAGACUAAGGCUUUGAGUGCCACAUUUUAAGUUUUCGCACAGGGCCUCCGUAAAGUUUGAGACGGCC